This 400-nucleotide long non-coding RNA is filed under the name Salvia miltiorrhiza (redroot sage). RNAcentral describes it as "long non-coding RNA (SMIL_LNC002407)". The record is from RNAcentral. Lineage: Eukaryota; Viridiplantae; Streptophyta; Magnoliopsida; Lamiales; Lamiaceae.
UUUGAAUUAACCAAUGAUGGGUAGAACUUAGAUUGUUAGUGGUUACUUUGAUGAAAAUGUUUGGGAAAUGAUUGAAAUUGCUUAUCAAGCUUUGAUUGAGUGAAAAUCACUAGUUCCCUAUGAGCUUAAAAAGAAAAAGAAAAAAAGAAGAAAAAGAAAUGAAAAUGAAUGUGAAUAAAAGAGCAUAAAGGGGAGUGAUUUGCCUUUUGAAUCAUAUCAUGAUAAGUAUCACUAAGGGUGAAAAGAAGAAAUGUGGGGAUAUUGGUUGAUUGAUUAGAAAAGAACAAUGGUGAAUAUGACUUAUUCAAUUUGGAAAUUGUAUGGGAUAUGAGUCACUUUGCCUAUAAACACCUCACCUCACCAAAGAGCUCUCAUUGCAACCUAAAGAAAAGCCCUUGUU